CUUGCUCUUGUUGCCCAGGCUGGAGUGCAAUGGCACAAUCUCGGCUCACCACAACCUCCACCUCCCCGGUUCAAGCGAUUCUCCUGCCUCAGUCCCCUGAGUAGCUGGGAUUACAGGCAUGCACCACCACACCCAGCUAAUUUUGUAUUUUUAGUAGAGACAGGGGUUCUCCAUGUUGAUCAGGCUGGUCUCGAACUCCCGACCUCAGGCGAUCCGCCCGCCUCGGUCUCUCAAAGUGCUGGGAUUACAGGCAUGAGCCACCGCGCCCGGCCCACUGAAGACAUUUUAAUUGUGCAUUCAUUCACUCAGCAGACAUUUAUUGAGUUCUAAAUAUUCUGCUAAGCCUUAAAAAUCCGUUAAUGAGAGAGCCUUCACCUCUGGUUAACAGACAUUGCCAGUUAAACAGACGCUAUCAGCCUUGUCCCCCAGCCAGUAGUCAAAGCUGUUGUUAACAACAGUUGCCAUCACAACUGAUUUUAAAGUUAAACAUUCCAUCCAUUUCUCUAGAUAUCAAAGGCACACCGUAAUAAACUCAUCUAGAUGCUGCUGUAUGGACGGUCACUUUUGCUAACUGAUUGAGUUUCGCAGAAGCCCUUGUGUGCUACUGUCACAGCCUUGACUGGCAAUUUGUGUGAAUACCUGACUCUGAGUCACAGGACGGAACGGAUGGAUAUGUGGUUUUCAUCUGACAAUUUAUUUUUGUGGUGGUUCACUCACUACAGGGCUUUUCAACUGGUGCAUAAUUUAGGUUAAAGUUUCUGAGCAGCUCUGGACUGCAAAAGGGCCUCCCUUCACUGAGCAGAUGUAUAUGACCCCGUGCUUCUCCGAUUCAUACCAAACUUCAGAGAAACUCCGGGAAAGGUUCCUUCUGUAUUUAUGGAUGAGAAUUAUGUGAAGCCUCUACAACCAUCGUAGUUCAUAUCUCCAGAGAGAGGUAUAAUUUGCAGUGAAGUGCACAAAUCAGUGAAAUUUUACGUAUGCAACCUUUAUCACUCACCACCCAAACCAGAGUGGUGUCUUCCCAACACCCCAGGGCCUCUAGUCCUUUUCCAGCGUUGCCUGAAGACACAAACUACUGAUGGCUGCAUCCACAUGACUGACUUCAAACACAGCACGCUGCAGGAGAAAAGCCGGAUACGCGCGUGGAAAGUGGGUGGCUCCACCACCCUGCUGUUCAGGUUUUCUUUCUGAAAGUUCUUUUGGCUUUAUUAUGGAAUAGAGGUUACAGAAAGGCAAAAGCUUUGGCCGUAGCGGGUGGGAAGAUCUUCCUUACCCUGGAGGAGGAAGUAGGGUCUCCGUAAUGUAUGUGUGGUACUCAGGGCUCCCGGCAGCCCGAAGCCAGAGUGUGUCCUCACCCUGCCCCGGGUCAGCCCUGUGACCUGGAGGGAGCAACUGAAAAGCUCUGGGCCUCGGAUUCCUCAUCUGUGAAAUGGGGAUGCUAACAGUGCUACCUCCUCUGGUUGGUUUGUGGCAGAGGACACAUGAGGCAACCUGUGUAAAAUGCUUGGAGGGUGGCCAGUGUGGUUACCAUGGAGAUUGACUGGUACCGUCUUCCACAUCCUGUGUUGACUAAGCGCGCACACCAGAAUACAGUUCCAAACGAUUAUCAAACAUGAAUACAAUUCAGAAAAUAAACAUGCAGCAAAACUUGCCAUAAAGAUUGCAUGAAACUAUCACUUUAAGAAAAAUACAUUAAAAAUUACCUUAAAUACCGAAAAGUACUUUUGUAAGUAAGGAUCAGUCCAAUAAAUUUAACCUGUAUUUGAAUCAGUGUAAAACAA
Long non-coding RNA from Homo sapiens (human), 1781 nucleotides. RefSeq lists it as uncharacterized. The record is from RefSeq and is a predicted model, not a curated record. The transcript is spliced from 2 exons. NCBI's taxonomy places the organism in Eukaryota, Metazoa, Chordata, Mammalia, Primates, Hominidae.